UACGUAGGUGGCGAGCGUUGUCCGGAAUUACUGGGUGUAAAGGGCGUGUAGGCGGGUUAUCAAGUCUGAUGUGAAAUACCGGGGCUCAACUCCGGGGCUGCAUUAGAAACUGAAUAUCUUGAGUGCAGGAGAGGAUAGCGGAAUUCCCAGUGUAGCGGUGAAAUGCGUAGAUAUUGGGAGGAACACCAGUGGCGAAGGCGGCUAUCUGGACUGCAACUGACGCUGAGGCGCGAAAGCGUGGGGAGCAAACAGG
RNAcentral lists this ribosomal RNA (253 nucleotides) under uncultured bacterium. RNAcentral describes it as "partial 16S ribosomal RNA". It matches the Rfam family "Bacterial small subunit ribosomal RNA", at positions 524 to 776 of the family's 1533-position model. The record is from RNAcentral.